RNAcentral lists this ribosomal RNA (497 nucleotides) under uncultured bacterium. RNAcentral's name for it is "partial 16S ribosomal RNA". It matches the Rfam family "Bacterial small subunit ribosomal RNA", at positions 28 to 507 of the family's 1533-position model. The record is from RNAcentral.
GAUGAACGCUGGCGGCGUGCCUAAUACAUGCCAGUCGAGCGAAUAGAUGAGGAGCUUGCUCCUCUGACGUUAGCGGCGGACGGGUGAGUAACACGUGGAUAACCUACCUAUAAGACUGGGAUAACUUCGGGAAACCGGAGCUAAUACCGGAUAAUAUAUUGAACCGCAUGGUUCAAUAGUGAAAGACGGUUUUGCUGUCACUUAUAGAUGGAUCCGCGCCGCAUUAGCUAGUUGGUAAGGUAACGGCUUACCAAGGCAACGAUGCGUAGCCGACCUGAGAGGGUGAUCGGCCACACUGGAACUGAGACACGGUCCAGACUCCUACGGGAGGCAGCAGUAGGGAAUCUUCCGCAAUGGGCGAAAGCCUGACGGAGCAACGCCGCGUGAGUGAUGAAGGUCUUCGGAUCGUAAAACUCUGUUAUUAGGGAAGAACAAAUGUGUAAGUAACUAUGCACGUCUUGACGGUACCUAAUCAGAAAGCCACGGCUAACUACGUG